RNAcentral lists this ribosomal RNA (233 nucleotides) under uncultured bacterium. RNAcentral's name for it is "partial 16S ribosomal RNA". It matches the Rfam family "Bacterial small subunit ribosomal RNA", at positions 794 to 1025 of the family's 1533-position model. The record is from RNAcentral.
UCCACGCCCUAAACGAUGAACACUAGUCGUCGGGAUGCUAGUCAUCUCGGUGAUGCACUUAACAGAUUAAGUGUUCCGCCUGGGGAGUACGGUCGCAAGAUUAAAACUCAAAGGAAUAGACGGGGACCCGCACAAGUGGUGGAGCAUGUGGUUUAAUUCGAAGAUACGCGAAGAACCUUACCUAGCCUUGACAUUGAAGAAAUAGACCAGAGAUGGACUAGUGCCCUUCGGGG